Molecule: long non-coding RNA, 2594 nt
Filed under: Nicotiana tabacum (common tobacco)
Lineage: Eukaryota; Viridiplantae; Streptophyta; Magnoliopsida; Solanales; Solanaceae
Description: long non-coding RNA (NTAB_LNC009822)
Source: RNAcentral
UUCAAAGAGUAGAGUAUGCAAGCAGUACAAACAAAUCUAAGAAAGAACAUACUAGGAAUUUGAUGCCUGUUCAUACACUUUUAGCUUAAAGAACCUAUCAUUUAUUCACAAUCUACUUAAGUCACAUCAAAAACAAAUUAUUCUUGCUCAUGAUUUCACAAAAUCCAAACACGCAACGCAUCCUCAGAAUGAGAAGAAGCACUACACUUUCCCUAUUGACAUGCUUUUCUAUUGAAGAGUUCAUCAAGUCACGAGCUGAAGAUGAGAGAACCAAGAACUCAGGUUAAACAUAGAGGGAAUGAAUCUACAUAUAUGAGAAUAUCAUGUAUAUAUAAUGGAGAUCGUGUGAUUAAAUAGUAAAUAGACAUUCUUUCAGGAAAUCUCUCUCAAAGAAAAAACUCCCGCUUAUUUUUGCAAGAGUAAUUUAACUGAUAACAAAUCAUAUUUUGAGAUGAACAGAGCAUUGCCAUUCUUACAUAUUUCUCAAGUCAAAUACUAAUAUUUUAUCAGAGAAUUGACUGUAUUCUCUCAGCGUAACUGAGAAGAAAAAUAAUGUAUUAUAUUUAUAUUCUUUAUAACCAUGAAGAAAGUGAAAGGAAGAGCCCUACAACUUUCUCAUUAUCAUCCAAAAAAGUCAUGAAGAUACUGUUAUUUGAUUUUAGUUAUUUCUAGACAAUGUAAAUAACUGUGAGAUCUAUCCUACAGUAUUGUCGUAGAUCAUACAGACAAAGCUUUGAUACAGGGGAGGAUCUAAAGGUGUGAGUAUGGUUCCUGGGAACCCAGUAGCUUUUGGCUAGAUCCCGUAUUUGUAUUAAGAAAAUCAUUCAAUGUAUAAGAAUAUUUAGUUGGGAACCCAGUUCUUUAAUCUGGUUAUUAUAAUAUAUUAAUUUAAAAUCAAUGUAGGAACCCAUAAACUAAAAAUCCUAGAUCCGCCUCUGCUUUGAUAUAAGUAGGUCAAAAAAAAUUAUCAGUAAAAAUAUCACUGAAAUGAAGCAGAACGAUAAAGCGGAUGUUACACUCUAACCUAUUAGACUUUAGAACCAACUGUAUUGCAGCAUUUGGCGAAAACACCAUGAGUAAAUGGCUAAAUGCCCUAUGAAAUCUGCUCCGUUCCUCUUCAACUGUGACCUAAAAAUCAAUUUUUAAAAUAAAAAAUUCAAUCUGAAGUAGAUAUAUGCUAGAGUUUGAAAAGCUCUGAUUUGCACCUAUUUUAAUCCGCACGGAAAUGUGUUUAAAAUGGAUAUAUACUAUCAAUAAAGCACUAAAGAUCCAUCAAAACAUUAAAACAAAUUAUUGAUUAGAACAAAUUAUUGUCUUUCUCAUACCAUCAGUAAGUACCACAUCAAUGGCACUGCCAAAAUAUUAUCAUCAUACACUCUCUACCUCAAUUAUGAAAGUGAAAGUUCAUGAUCCGUUAGAUCUUCAACUCUAUACAACAAUUUUAAAAUAAACAGUAUUCCAAAUGUCAUAAAUCCUAUAGAUGCUCAACAAAAGAGUACAAGUCCACAUGCCUCCGAAGAUAUGAGUGACUUGUAAUAAAAUUAAUAGAUCCAGCAAAUUAUCAAACACAUAAGACAUGAUAUGUUUGUCGAUUACACACUUAUUACCCAUUCAACACAACACACAUGUAUAAUUCUGAAGCUCAGAAUAACAAAAUUGCAAUAGUAAUCCAAUGGCAUAAGGUAGCCCGAUGCACAAAGCAUCACCUGUUGUUCAUGCAGAAUCAUCAUAUAUCAUAUUUGUAGUGUUCUUCUUGGAAGUGAGUCGAAUUCAUACUGUACUCUUACCAAGUGAUAAAUUUAUUAAAUAUAAAUAAAUUUAUUGUAAUAACAGAGCUCUUUUUAGAAUAUUUAUAGAUUUACCAAGGAAUAGGGGAGGUUACAACUGCCACUAAAUAAACAAACCAAGGGGGUUAAAGCUGCCUCGAAAUAGAAUUUGCCAUAUUUUCAAGAUAUAUUGUGGAGGUUGAAACCGCCGCAAAAUAAUUGUGUAGUGGAGAUUUCAACCCCCGUUGUAUAUUUUUUUACAAGUUGCUACAUUGAUUAAAAUUUUAAUUUGUAGGGGUUAAACCGCCGGAAAAUAACCUAUGUUAAAUGAUUACGGCGGGCUGUAAAAAAUUGCCACAAUAAAUGAUAGCAGCGAACCUUACAUCUUUGGGGUUUGAAGACCGCCGUGAUAUCAAUUAAUGGGGUUGCUGACCGCCGUAAAACGUGAAAAUACCCUCCUAGGAUAUUUCUUUGUAGUGAAAAAAUAGAGUGGAAAGCCAGAGAAGAUAUUUUUCCUUCUUCAUAUUGGUUGCCACCUGCACUUGGUUAUCUCUUAAUCUAAAUGAUUCAGAGCAGACCGCAAAGGAGAAACAUCCAAUCGAUGCUCCUAUUGUUCAGUCACAGAUGAUAUCUCAUAGUGAUUUACCGGUUUCUGAAAGAGCAGAAGAAAUUGAAGAACGGCCAAAGAAGCAAAAUACAAAGAGAAGCAGAAAUGUGAUAUGCUACGUGGUCGUUCCCAGUUGCACAAUGAAAAACACGUAAUGUAGAUAAUUGAAAAAUCUAAUAUGCCCUCGAUCUAAAAACGAUUGACGUGAAACAGACACGUCG